AGGAUUAUGAGCACAAGCAUGAAGCAGAAAGAAUGAUCCUUUUGGGGCAUUCUUUAUAUCAUCCAUCAUUGCAGCAAAGUCCAAGCCCUUUGAUUCAGCAUGAUAAUAGUGAUAUGUUUUCUCAGGGACGUGAGCAUCUCUCCAAAUGUUAUGAUGAUUAGACCAUGUAGGAACAGGAAUAUAAAUCUGUGAAUCAGGACAAAAGCGCUUUUGGAAGUCCGCAAAAAUUCUGCAUGCGCCUGUUCCAGAUAAUGCUUGAAUUGCAGCAAUGCGUUUAUCUUUUAUCAAGUCUGAGUUCUCUCCAUAGGCUAACUUCAGCGACUCCUGGAUCAUGUUGACACUACCUCCCAUAGGAAGAUAUUCCAUAUUGAAACCACCAGCUAUCCUUCGCUCUGCUUCUCUAACACACUCCAGUACCACGGGUUUUCCAUUGUCAUCCCUGUAAGCUCCAACGCCAACAUUGACUUUGUCAGGGCUAGGAUCGGCGAGAAAAGCUUCAGUUACGCCGAGGAUAGGAUCUUUAGGAGCCGGUUCAACAUUUCGCCACCACGACGACAGGGAUCGCGCUCCGAACGACGACGAGCUAAGUUUUAGUUGACGACCGGAAAUAGCGGCACGCAUCGCCAUGGCCGGAACGGAGAGAGGAUAUAGAGAAAUGGCCAAAUAGGAGAGGAAAAUGGCGUGUUUGUAGAGGCGGUUGAUAGAGAU
Molecule: unclassified non-coding RNA, 708 nt
Filed under: Hevea brasiliensis (rubber tree)
Lineage: Eukaryota; Viridiplantae; Streptophyta; Magnoliopsida; Malpighiales; Euphorbiaceae
Source: RNAcentral